This 468-nucleotide ribosomal RNA is filed under the name uncultured bacterium. RNAcentral's name for it is "bacterial SSU rRNA". It matches the Rfam family "Bacterial small subunit ribosomal RNA", at positions 28 to 507 of the family's 1533-position model. The record is from RNAcentral.
GACGAACGCUGGCGGCGCGCCUAACACAUGCAAGUCGAACGGAGCUUAGAGAGCUUGCUUUUUAAGCUUAGUGGCGAACGGGUGAGUAACGCGUGAGUAACCUGCCCUAGAGUGGGGGACAACAGUUGGAAACGACUGCUAAUACCGCAUAAGCCCACGGUACCGCAUGGUACUGAGGGAAAAGGAUUUAUUCGCUUUAGGAUGGACUCGCGUCCAAUUAGCUAGUUGGUGAGGUAACGGCCCACCAAGGCGACGAUUGGUAGCCGGACUGAGAGGUUGAACGGCCACAUUGGGACUGAGACACGGCCCAGACUCCUACGGGAGGCAGCAGUGGGGGAUAUUGCACAAUGGGGGAAACCCUGAUGCAGCGACGCCGCGUGGAGGAAGAAGUAUUCGGUAUGUAAAGCUCUAUCAGCAGGGAAGAAAAAAAUGACGGUACCUGACUAAGAAGCCCCGGCUAACUACGUG